UACGUAGGGGGCAAGCGUUGUCCGGAUUCAUUGGGCGUAAAGAGCGUGUAGGCGGCCAGGUAGGUCGGUUGUGAAAACUGGAGGCUCAACCUUCAGACGUCGACCGAAACCAUCUGGCUAGAGUCCGGGAGAGGAGAGUGGAAUUCCUGGUGUAGCGGUGAAAUGCGCAGAUAUCAGGAAGAACACCCGUGGCGAAAGCGGCUCUCUGGGACGGUACUGACGCUGAGACGCGAAAGCGUGGGGAGCGAACAGG
Molecule: ribosomal RNA, 253 nt
Filed under: uncultured bacterium
Lineage: Bacteria
Description: partial 16S ribosomal RNA
Rfam family: Bacterial small subunit ribosomal RNA
Source: RNAcentral